GUGGGUGAUCUACCUUGGGCAUGGGGAUAGCCAUUAGAAAUAGUGGGUAAUACCGAAUACGUUCGUUACCGUGGAGGGUAACGAGGAAAGGCGCUACGGCGCCGGCCCUGGAGAUGAGCUUGCGUCUGAUUAGCUAGUUGGUGAGGUAAUGGCUCACCAAGGCGAUGAUCGGUAGCCGGCCUGAGAGGGUGUACGGCCACACUGGGACUGAGAUACGGCCCAGACUCCUACGGGAGGCAGCAGCUAAGAAUAUUCCGCAAUGGACGAAAGUCUGACGGAGCGACGCCGCGUGGAUGAUGAAGGCCGAAAGGUUGUAAAGUCCUUUUGCUGGGGAAGAAUAAGUCUGGGAGGGAAUGCCCGGAUGAUGACAUGAACCGGCGAAUAAGCCCCGGCUAACUACGUGCCAGCAGCCGCGGUAACACGUAGGGGGCGAGCGUUGUUCGGAAUUACUGGGCGUAAAGGGCAUGUAGGCGGCUUUGUAAGCUUGGCGUGAAAUUCCACGGCUUAACCGUGGGAAUGCGUUGAGAACUGGCGAGGCUUGAGUGACGGAGAGGGAGCUAGAAUUCCUGGUGUAGGGGUGGAAUCUGUAGAGAUCAGGAAGAAUACCAAUGGCGAAGGCAAGCUCCUGGCCGAUGACUGACGCUGAGGUGCGAAAGUGUGGGGAUCAAACAGGAUUAGAUACCCUGGUAGUCCACACUGUAAACGAUGUACACUAGGUGCUGGGGCGGAUGCUUCAGUGCCGUAGCUAACGUGAUAAGUGUACCGCCUGGGGAGUAUGCUCGCA
This 784-nucleotide ribosomal RNA is filed under the name uncultured bacterium. RNAcentral describes it as "bacterial SSU rRNA". It matches the Rfam family "Bacterial small subunit ribosomal RNA", at positions 117 to 890 of the family's 1533-position model. The record is from RNAcentral.